GAUUAAACUAUAAUACUGAGGAUGUUUGGCACUAAUCAGCUAAAAUCCCCUUUAAGAUUAUAUAAUUUCCUUGGAUCCUGAGUUUCAUGCAGAUUGUCUUUAAUAUAGAAAUAUAUGGACUGUGUGCUGCCAACAACAAGCUUCAAGGACAUGGUUUUGGGAGUGGUUCUGCAUGUUAAUAUAAAAUAAAGAGCUGGGGUUACAGCUGCAGUGGACAGCCGCAUGUAACGGGAAGGUACAACCUUGGCAAUUCCUGAGGCAAAUUGUUCACUUUGCUCGGUAAUGUUCUGAAAUAUGAUAAAGAUGACUUUGUAGCUUAAAAGGCUUUUGAUGUGCCCUCUCAAUAUUGAAGAUUAUAGGUUCAUUUUCUGAUGGGCUCUUUUUUUAAAUCUGAGACAAUUUUUUCCUACAUCUCCAAAUGCUUAGUUUUUGAUGAAUUUUCAUUCCUUAAAAAAAAAAAAAAGCAUUUAAAGGGGCUUCGAUUAGAUUGGUUUUAUGUAACAAUAAAAAAAGACAUCAAUAUUCUUACAUUCUUUUGCUGAUGGACAGAAAACAUGUUUUUGUUGAGCAUUUGCGGUAAGGUCAUCUACGUUUAAUCAUUUUUCUGGAAUUUUCUAGUAAUUGCUUUCAGCAAUGUCAAAGCAUUCUUCUUAAAUCAAUAUUUUUAGAGUUUUGUAAUGAAAUUCGACUUUUUACAGGGUCUGUAUCAUCUCUGGGCUCCAGUGGAGGCAGUUCUCUGCUGCAGGUUCCAGGAGCUCUGCCCGCCAUCAGCCACGCUUCACUGGGCUCUGGGCGCAGCUCGAGACCAAUGAUCUGCCUCAGCACUUCCCAAAGCUUUGACCGGCACUCCAUGCACAGGCUCAGUCCUGCCGACAGCAUAGACGGACACAAGUGCAGUCCGGCUCACAGAGUCAGAACGUACAGACUGAACUCAGCACACAGUAUAGACGGAUACAAGUUCAGCCCGGCCCGUCAAAUGAACAGACACAGACUCAGUUCUGCUCACAGCAUGGAUGGAUACAGACUCAAUCCAGACCAGAACAGCGACAGGCCGAGGCUCUUGUCCAGCCACAGCAUAGACAGACACCCGUCUCUCAGGCUUAGUCCAACAGAAUUUGGCAGCAGGCGCCCAUCUCUCUGGCUCAGCCCUGAAGACAGUCUUGACAGGAACAAGCUCAGUCCCUCUUAUGUUCCAGAUAGUUCUGUCCUGAAAAGAACCGGGUCCUACCGCACUGCAAACAGACGUUUACAACGACAGGCGGCUGUGCGCUCUGACUCUCUGGAUCAGAGUGGAUCAGCUGACAACCUGGCAGAACCUUGCCUCACUGUGCCCACAGACUCUUCCAGUCCGCCACGCCAGCGAUCACCCAGCGUCCACACGCUGAAAUACACACACCCCCAGAGGGUAAUCUCAUGCAGGAGCCACAGCCGGAGCCACAGUGAAACCCCCGCGCACGGACUCGUACCUGAGCAAGCCAUCUGCGGCUCGCAGCCAGAAACGCAUGCAGAAACGAGGUCCGCUGGUCCACAGGGCUUGUCCACUUUGAAGGUCAUCAGCGCCGAGUCCAGCUUAUCAGCUUCGCUCUGUAGCACCAGAGCGGCCUGCACGGAGCCUGGCGCCGGAUCAAACCCGCCCCCCCUGUCUGACGAUGCUGAUGAGGAAGUUAGCUGCAUAAAUAUUUCAGUUCACUCACCCGGGCUGCCUCCUCCCAGCUCCUCACACAAAAGUGGACACCUCUCCCCGAGUCCCGGAGAGUACAGAGGCUGCCUCAGUCAUUCAGCAUCCCCGGUUUCAGGUCAGGGCAGGAAGCAGCGGAUGAGCCCACCACCAGGGGAGGAGCCAGUCACAAUGGCAACCCAGCAAACGGACACUAAUGUUGAGCUAAGACGGAGGACUCUAUCAUUCGAUGCCUCAAGCCUUUCUCCUAAUCAACUGGAGCAGAACUCUGUGGACGACUGA
RNAcentral lists this long non-coding RNA (1960 nucleotides) under Oryzias javanicus (javanese ricefish). RNAcentral's name for it is "lncRNA (ENSOJAG00000008256.1)". Lineage: Eukaryota; Metazoa; Chordata; Actinopteri; Beloniformes; Adrianichthyidae. The record is from RNAcentral.